UGAAUUCUUCAGCUGCUACAAUAUCUGCAAACAUUAACAGUAUCCCUGUGCUUAACAGCACAAACUUUAAGGAAUGGAAAGAGAACAUUAUGAUAGAGGUAUAGGACAAGCACAAGAUUAGAGGAUUUGAACAUCUAAGAUUCUACACAUCAUCAUCGAAGGGUUUGUUUCCAAGAUUGACAAAAUCUAUGAGAAUAUAUAUUAAGAAGUU
RNAcentral lists this long non-coding RNA (211 nucleotides) under Nicotiana benthamiana. Its description in RNAcentral is "long non-coding RNA (NBEN_LNC000369)". Lineage: Eukaryota; Viridiplantae; Streptophyta; Magnoliopsida; Solanales; Solanaceae. The record is from RNAcentral.